Molecule: long non-coding RNA, 1484 nt
Organism: Suricata suricatta (meerkat)
Lineage: Eukaryota; Metazoa; Chordata; Mammalia; Carnivora; Herpestidae
Source: Ensembl
CUUCUACCCUCCGCGCAGGAGAAAGUGCCCAUCACUGUCCAGAGCCAAGACUUUUGGGAGAAGACAGGACAAGGGAGGUACUAAGAACGGCACACAGCUAGGACUAUUCUGGAUGCGUAGAGACAAGACCAUCCAUACCGAGCGCCAUGAAGAAGUGCAGAAGGAAGUACAGCCUCCUGAGUGUAAAGGAGAGAAAGCCCUUCCUCAGUCCUCUUGGCUACCCCUUGGAAAUGGCAGACAUUGCUGCUGGGAAGUGUCCCAGCCCAGCAGGAGCAGAAAAUGGCGCCGGAGUCCGCUUCACCCUUGGGCCCUGCCCCAUCACAGAGCUCUGGAGGCUCGCGCUGAGAGGCGCAGGUGUGUUCCGCGCCAGCGGCAUCUUGUGUGUGCCCUGCCCCUCGGUGCCUGUAGUGUUGUUCUCCAUACCUCAGGGGGCAGAGCCAGGCCAUUCUCAUGGUGACGCACCUGCCACCUUCUUCCUGCCCAGGAGCUGGGAAGAGGCCCCCCACAUCCUGCACGAGGUUAAGUCUGAGGAAUGGCUUUGCCAUGGCUGCCGUAGUGCCCUUUGGCCAUGGAAUAACUGAAAGACUCCUUUUAUGUAUUGAUCUUCAGUGUCUGGAAUGAGAGCUCUGGAGAAGCAGAGAGACCCAGGAGUCUUCUGAUAAAGUUACAGGAGGUGUCAGAGCUACUUGGCAGAGACGGAUGGCACCUUCUGUGCACUUGGCCGUGGCCACGAAGAGCAGAGCACCCAGAGACUAUGUCAAAGGGCAGUCAUUACAGUCAGAUAUGCAGGUAGGAUGCAUAGAGUUAGAAGGCUCCCCUCCUCUCUUUUGCGAAGCCCACAGAAUACCACUCCCUCUCUGCCAGGCACAGACCAGAGCUGAGUUGGACACCAUGAGUUUAUACCAUGCUUUUCAUAAUAGACACCUCAACACAAUUCCUUGGAGAGAAUUUAUGUAAAGAAAUUUCUGAAAAGAAAUUGGGGGGGGACGAAGAGACCCCACUCUGAUUUUAGAGCAUACUGAAAAGAAAGGGUCUGUCAGGUCAAGGCAUGUCUUUCCUCUUCUCCCCACUGACUGCCUCCCAGAGGGGAAGUUAGCAAAUACGCAGCGUUCCGAGGACUUCAUCAAUCAAGGCUGCAUUAGGAAAGUGUGACACGCUGAAGACAGUUUGGUGGGCACUGUUUCAGACUUGAUUCUUCAUUAGAGGGAAGCUGGGAGGGAAGUGGGAACAAAGCAAGCUGACAGGGAUGCGUACGCCAACGGCUAAAUCACAUAAACAGUGAGUCAUCUGCCUUCACCAAGCCCUUCUCUGUGAAUGCUGCCCGUGAACUUCGCCGCCUGCUUGUAUUUGUCAACUGCAAACAGGUUUAGAAACAUUAUUCUGAUAAAGUGUGGAUUGACUUCAUUCGUGUCCCCCUAAAGGAUUACCCCAAGAGGUGAACUUGGGAGUGACCCUUUUUUAAAAAAAUUUUAUUUGAGAGAGAG